ACGCUGGCGGCGUGCCUAAUACAUGCAAGUAGAACGCUGAAGGAGGAGCUUACUUCUCUGGAUGAGUUGCGAACGGGUGAGUAACGCGUAGGUAACCUGCCUGGUAGCGGGGGAUAACUAUUGGAAGCGAUAGCUAAUACCGCAUAACAGUAGAUGUUGCAUGACAUUUGCUUAAAAGGUGCAGUUGCAUCACUACCAGAUGGACCUGCGUUGUAUUAGCUAGUUGGUGGGGUAACGGCUCACCAAGGCGACGAUACAUAGCCGACCUGAGAGGGUGAUCGGCCACACUGGGACUGAGACACGGCCCAGACUCCUACGGGAGGCAGCAGUAGGGAAUCUUCGGCAAUGGACGGAAGUCUGACCGAGCAACGCCGCGUGAGUGAAGAAGGUUUUCGGAUCGUAAAGCUCGGUUGUAAGAGAAGAACAGGUGUGAGAGUGGAAAGUUCACACUGUGACGGUAUCUUACCAGAAAGGGACGGCUAACUACGUGCCAGCAGCCGCGGUAAUACGUAGGUCCCGAGCGUUGUCCGGAUUUAUUGGGCGUAAAGCGAGCGCAGGCGGUUAGAUAAGUCUGAAGUUAAAGGCUGUGGCUUAACCAUAGUACGCUUUGGAAACUGUUUAACUUGAGUGCAAGAGGGGAGAGUGGAAUUCCAUGUGUAGCGGUGAAAUGCGUAGAUAUAUGGAGGAACACCGGUGGCGAAAGCGGCUCUCUGGCUUGUAACUGACGCUGAGGCUCGAAAGCGUGGGGAGCAAACAGGAUUAGAUACCCCUGGUAGUCCACGCCGUAAACGAUGAGUGCUAGGUGUUAGACCCUUUCCGGGGUUUAGUGCCGCAGCUAACGCAUUAAGCACUCCGCCUGGGGAGUACGACCGCAAGGUUGAAACUCAAAGGAAUUGACG
Molecule: ribosomal RNA, 899 nt
Filed under: uncultured bacterium
Lineage: Bacteria
Description: bacterial SSU rRNA
Rfam family: Bacterial small subunit ribosomal RNA
Source: RNAcentral